UACGAAGGGGACUAGCGUUGUUCGGAAUUACUGGGCGUAAAGCGCACGUAGGCGGAUCGAUCAGUCAGGGGUGAAAUCCCAGAGCUCAACUCUGGAACUGCCUUUGAUACUGUCGAUCUAGAGUAUGGAAGAGGUGAGUGGAAUUCCGAGUGUAGAGGUGAAAUUCGUAGAUAUUCGGAGGAACACCAGUGGCGAAGGCGGCUCACUGGUCCAUUACUGACGCUGAGGUGCGAAAAGCGUGGGGGAGCAAACAGG
Molecule: ribosomal RNA, 255 nt
Filed under: uncultured bacterium
Lineage: Bacteria
Description: partial 16S ribosomal RNA
Rfam family: Bacterial small subunit ribosomal RNA
Source: RNAcentral